RNAcentral lists this ribosomal RNA (434 nucleotides) under uncultured Pantoea sp. Its description in RNAcentral is "bacterial SSU rRNA". It matches the Rfam family "Bacterial small subunit ribosomal RNA", at positions 958 to 1392 of the family's 1533-position model. The record is from RNAcentral. Lineage: Bacteria; Pseudomonadati; Pseudomonadota; Gammaproteobacteria; Enterobacterales; Erwiniaceae.
AACGCGAAGAACCUUACCUACUCUUGACAUCCAGAGAACUUAGCAGAGAUGCUUUGGUGCCUUCGGGAACUCUGAGACAGGUGCUGCAUGGCUGUCGUCAGCUCGUGUUGUGAAAUGUUGGGUUAAGUCCCGCAACGAGCGCAACCCUUAUCCUUUGUUGCCAGCGGUCCGGCCGGGAACUCAAAGGAGACUGCCAGUGAUAAACUGGAGGAAGGUGGGGAUGACGUCAAGUCAUCAUGGCCCUUACGAGUAGGGCUACACACGUGCUACAAUGGCGCAUACAAAGAGAAGCGACCUCGCGAGAGCAAGCGGACCUCAUAAAGUGCGUCGUAGUCCGGAUUGGAGUCUGCAACUCGACCCCAUGAAGUCGGAAUCGCUAGUAAUCGUAGAUCAGAAUGCUACGGUGAAUACGUUCCCGGGUCUUGUACACACCG